GGUCUGUUAGCUCAGUUGGUUAGAGCGUCGUACUAAUACGCCAUAAGUGUAUCAAGUAAUGCGAAGGUCAGCGGUUCGACCCCGCUACGGACCA
This 94-nucleotide transfer RNA is filed under the name Emericellopsis atlantica. It matches the Rfam family "tRNA". Rfam says of the family: Transfer RNA (tRNA) molecules are approximately 80 nucleotides in length. The record is from Rfam by way of RNAcentral. Lineage: Eukaryota; Fungi; Ascomycota; Sordariomycetes; Hypocreales; Bionectriaceae.